This 200-nucleotide unclassified non-coding RNA is filed under the name uncultured Gliophorus. Its description in RNAcentral is "sequence contains ITS2". Lineage: Eukaryota; Fungi; Basidiomycota; Agaricomycetes; Agaricales; Hygrophoraceae. The record is from RNAcentral.
AAUUCUCAAUCUCGUUUAACUAAUAUUUGACGAGUUUGGAUUAUGGAGGUUUGCUGGCGAAAGGUUGGCUCCUCUGAAAUGCAUUAGUGAAACCCUUCCAAACGGAAAAUGGGCUUUGGUUUGAUAAUUGCUUUGUCUAUGCCAUUGCCGUUUGCCGUGAUGAUUUCGCUUACAACUGUCUUUGGACAAAUCUUGAUCUC